Molecule: ribosomal RNA, 468 nt
Filed under: uncultured bacterium
Lineage: Bacteria
Description: partial 16S ribosomal RNA
Rfam family: Bacterial small subunit ribosomal RNA
Source: RNAcentral
GACGAACGCUGGCGGCGUGCUUAACACAUGCGAGUCGAACGGAAAGGCCCUGCUUUUGUGGGGUGCUCGAGUGGCGAACGGGUGAGUAACACGUGAGUAACCUGCCCUUGACUUUGGGAUAACUUCAGGAAACUGGGGCUAAUACCGGAUAGGAGCUCCUGCUGCAUGGUGGGGGUUGGAAAGCUUCGGCGGUUGGAGAUGGACUCGCGGCUUAUCAGCUUGUUGGUGGGGUAGUGGCUUACCAAGGCUUUGACGGGUAGCCGGCCUGAGAGGGUGACCGGCCACAUUGGGACUGAGAUACGGCCCAGACUCCUACGGGAGGCAGCAGUGGGGAAUAUUGCACAAUGGGCGGAAGCCUGAUGCAGCAACGCCGCGUGCGGGAUGACGGCUUUCGGGUUGUAAACCGCUUUCGCCUGUGACGAAGCGUGAGUGACGGUAAUGGGUAAAGAAGCACCGGCUAACUACGUG